Molecule: long non-coding RNA, 305 nt
Filed under: Androctonus crassicauda
Lineage: Eukaryota; Metazoa; Arthropoda; Arachnida; Scorpiones; Buthidae
Source: RNAcentral
GUGAAACAAGUUCACGAUGAGUUAUAAAUAUGGUUAUCCGUGAAAUAAGUUCAUGAUGAGUUUUUUUUUUUUUGUUAUGGGUUCCUUGGAGAAGUGUUUUUCUCCAAUAUUUUUUUUUUGUUCGCGUUUGAUAUGUGUGGGGAUACCCAGAGGAAAAGACAUUGUCUCUUUAUCGCUACUAACAGUCGACUUCCGUCGGACUAACAGCUCCGUCGGUCGUCCCUACUUUCCGUCGAGAAGACUUACAUGUCGGUCAGUCCAUUUCCACAGCUUAGUUUUUUAUUACAAGAAUUUGAUUUCAGAGU